UUUUUGCUUUCCUCAACUGGGUUUUCCUUCGUUGUCGUUGUGCGCUCUGAUUUCUCUCAAUUUCUUCCUUUUCGUUUCGCGAAAUUAUCUCCGGCGAGACACGAUCUUUGAUUUUUGCAAUCAUUGUUGGCUGUUCUUCUCUGUUUUUGGCUGCCAUCCGUACGUUGGAUCGAUUUCGUCUUUUUCACCGUUUGUUUCAAGCCUCUCUUUUGAGAGAAUUUUUACGUAUUAAGGCUUUAGCGCCGUCGUUUUCCGAAGCCCUCUCAAGUUGUCGAGGAUAUGGAGGGAGAGCAAGUAAAAAGAUUGUAUUUAUUGUGUUGACGCAUUAUUGAACAAGAGACCCAAAAGGAAGGACAUAUUCGAUCUCAAGGAUGCGAAUCAUUGCUUCUUUAGAAAAGAUUAAGGAAGCUCCAUAGAAAAAGUUUCAGCUUUUGACUCAAAUUUCGACGGUGCCCCUAUCAUUUCUUCGAAAAUCAAAGCAACCCCAAGCAAUUCCGGAAUCAUUUUUAUUUGUCCCAAAAUCCAUGAUGUUGCAGCAAAGGAAAUAUCAGACACGACUCAGUCCAAAGGCUCCAACCAGAAAUGUAUCAGGUUCCCCAAUCAUUUCUGAAACCAUAUUUAUGGCUGCAAAACAGAGUAUGUAUACCCUUUCAUUGUUCUAUACUUUUUGAAUUAUUAACGAUCUAUUAAACAUGAUCUCUUUAUCCCAUUCGCUUAAAACUCAAAUAGUUCACUAGAUUUCUUUAUCAUAGUAUCUUUCGACCAUCUUUUGUAUGUAAGUCGGACAAUUUUGUAAAUCUUUUGUAUGUAAAUGUUAUAUACAUAUGCAUCAAGCAUUCUCUUUUGUAUGUAAAUAGGAUUAUCUACCAAAUCUUUUGCACAUAAAAUAGUAUGUAGAUAUAGAUCAAGUAUUUUUGUAUGUACAUAGUGCUAUACACAAAAUUUCAUACAGUUUUCAAUCCCGCAGCAUCGCGC
Molecule: long non-coding RNA, 975 nt
Organism: Malus domestica (apple)
Lineage: Eukaryota; Viridiplantae; Streptophyta; Magnoliopsida; Rosales; Rosaceae
Source: RefSeq, a predicted model, not a curated record